GCACCACCAGGCAGAGUACGAACGUCACCGGCUGCAUCUUCUCGAGCUAUGAAUCGGACUGAUCGAACAAUCGCCCCACUCUCCAUCCAGAUGCCGGCUAGUUGUGGCCCAUCACAGAUUAGAUGGAAAGGAAAGACAUUGUAACUUGAAGGAUAGAGAAGAGAUGGUGGCUAGUCUGAGACUCCAUUGGGACACUCCAUCUGGGGACAACAGUGGGGAUGCUGCAGCUCAAAGUUCCCGGCGGACAAGCGACAGCCGUUCCGUGGAAACGGAAGUAGUCCUCCGUGCACAUCGCCUUGACGCAGUAGCCCCUGUAGCCGGUGGGCAGGGCAGAACCGUACAGCGGGACAGCCAAGUCGAGCUCCUCGUAGAUGCAGUGAUCCGGCAAUUCG
Molecule: long non-coding RNA, 392 nt
Organism: Drosophila ananassae
Lineage: Eukaryota; Metazoa; Arthropoda; Insecta; Diptera; Drosophilidae
Exons: 3
Source: RefSeq, a predicted model, not a curated record